Non-coding RNA from Henosepilachna vigintioctopunctata, 71 nucleotides. NCBI's taxonomy places the organism in Eukaryota, Metazoa, Arthropoda, Insecta, Coleoptera, Coccinellidae. The record is from the annotation of a GenBank genome assembly.
GCAUCAGUGUUUUAGGGGUAGAAUGCACGACUUCCACAUGGGUGGCCCGGGUUCGGUUCCCGGCCAAUGCA